This 389-nucleotide RNase P RNA is filed under the name Nitrospirota bacterium. RNAcentral's name for it is "RNase P RNA component class A". It matches the Rfam family "Bacterial RNase P class A". Rfam says of the family: Ribonuclease P (RNase P) is a ubiquitous endoribonuclease, found in archaea, bacteria and eukarya as well as chloroplasts and mitochondria. Its best characterised activity is the generation of mature 5'-ends of tRNAs by cleaving the 5'-leader elements of precursor-tRNAs. Lineage: Bacteria; Pseudomonadati; Nitrospirota. The record is from RNAcentral.
CAGAGCAGGAGGGUGGCCGCUCCGAUUGAGGCACAGCCUCAGUUUGGGAGGAAAGUCCGAGCUCCAUAGGGCAAGGCGGUCGUUAGCAGCGACUGGGGGUAACCCCAAGGAAAGUGCCACAGAAAGGGAAACCGUCCAGACUUUGUCGGGAUAAGGGUGAAAAGGUGAGGUAAGAGCUCACCAGUUGGGAUGGCGACAUCUCAAGCUUGGAAAACCCCGCCUGGAGCAAGGUCGAAUAGGUUCCGUUUUGAGAGGGGCCCCUUCAAAUCACUGUCCGCCUGAGGCGGAUGUGAGACGGAACGGGUUGUACUGCAAGAGUCUGGUGGUAACAUCAGACCAUAGAGGAAUGACCACAGAAACAGAACUCGGCUUAUUACCUGCUCUGGCAA